UACGUAGGGUGCGAGCGUUAAUCGGAAUUACUGGGCGUAAAGCGUGCGCAGGCGGUGAUGUAAGUCAGAUGUGAAAUCCCCGGGCUCAACCUGGGAACUGCAUUUGUGACUGCCUCGCUGGAGGGCGGCAGAGGGGGAUGGAAUUCCGCGUGUAGCAGUGAAAUGCGUAGAUAUGCGGAGGAACACCGAUGGCGAAGGCAAUCCCCUGGGCCUGCACUGACGCUCAUGCACGAAAGCGUGGGGAGCAAACAGG
Molecule: ribosomal RNA, 253 nt
Filed under: uncultured bacterium
Lineage: Bacteria
Description: partial 16S ribosomal RNA
Rfam family: Bacterial small subunit ribosomal RNA
Source: RNAcentral